GCCGGAAUAGCUCAGUCGGUAGAGCAGCGCAUUCGUAAUGCGAAGGUCGGGGGUUCAACUCCUCUUUCCGGCACCA
This 76-nucleotide transfer RNA is filed under the name Accumulibacter sp. Its description in RNAcentral is "tRNA-Thr". It matches the Rfam family "tRNA". Rfam says of the family: Transfer RNA (tRNA) molecules are approximately 80 nucleotides in length. Their secondary structure includes four short double-helical elements and three loops (D, anti-codon, and T loops). The record is from RNAcentral. Lineage: Bacteria; Pseudomonadati; Pseudomonadota; Betaproteobacteria.